GGCGGGCUGCCCGGUUUGUGAGGAACAUUUUUCCCAGGGCCUAUAAUCGAUCUUUAGGGAGCUGUCCCUGGGCUGGACCGUGGUCCGGCUUAAACGGCACCCACCUACGUGAGUAGGGACCAGGGAUCGUCAGUUUCCACGGCCCAUGGUGGCUCGCCG
RNAcentral lists this non-coding RNA (159 nucleotides) under Aestuariivirga sp. Its description in RNAcentral is "6S RNA". It matches the Rfam family "6S / SsrS RNA". Rfam says of the family: E. coli 6S RNA was the first non coding RNA to be sequenced, but its function was unknown until recently. Lineage: Bacteria; Pseudomonadati; Pseudomonadota; Alphaproteobacteria; Hyphomicrobiales; Aestuariivirgaceae. The record is from RNAcentral.